CGCAGUAAGGGCAGUGCCAGAGAAAUCGGCUUCUAGAACGUCAAAUUCCAUCUGUUUUGAACAGGGUAGAAAAUGGGGAGUUUUUGCGUGACUCAGAUGAAGUCUUUCACCGAUCAGCUCACUCCUGCGCAAUAGGGCUUGAAGGCGGCUGCUCCCCG
Molecule: small RNA, 158 nt
Filed under: Deinococcus gobiensis I-0
Lineage: Bacteria; Thermotogati; Deinococcota; Deinococci; Deinococcales; Deinococcaceae
Description: hypothetical noncoding RNA
Source: RNAcentral